Molecule: ribosomal RNA, 817 nt
Filed under: uncultured bacterium
Lineage: Bacteria
Description: bacterial SSU rRNA
Rfam family: Bacterial small subunit ribosomal RNA
Source: RNAcentral
AGAGUUUGAUCAUGGCUCAGGAUGAACGCUGGCGGCGUGCCUAACACAUGCAAGUCGAGCGAUUUUCUUCGGAAGAGAGCGGCGGACGGGUGAGUAACGCGUGGGUAACCUGCCUCAUACACAUGGAUAACAUACCGAAAGGUAUGCUAAUACAAGAUGAUAUAAGAGAUUCGCAUGGAUUUCUUAUCAAAAGCUCCGGCGGUAUGAGAUGGACCCGCGUCUGAUUAGCUAGUUGGUAAGGUAACAGCUUACCAAGGCGACGAUCAGUAGCCGACCUGAGAGGGUGAUCGGCCACAUUGGAACUGAGACACGGUCCAAACUCCUACGGGAGGCAGCAGUGGGGAAUAUUGCACAAUGGGCGAAAGCCUGAUGCAGCAACGCCGCGUGAGCGAUGAAGGCCUUCGGGUCGUAAAGCUCUGUCCUCAAGGAAGAUAAUGACGGUACUUGAGGAGGAAGCCCCGGCUGACUACGUGCCAGCAGCCGCGGUAAUACGUAGGGGGCUAGCGUUAUCCGGAUUUACUGGGCGUAAAGGGUGCGUAGGUGGUUUCUUAAGUCAGGAGUGAAAGGCUACGGCUCAACCGUAGUAAGCUCUUGAAACUGGGAAACUUGAGUGCAGGAGAGGAAAGUGGAAUUCCUAGUGUAGCGGUGAAAUGCGUAGAUAUUAGGAGGAACACCAGUAGCGAAGGCGGCUUUCUGGACUGUAACUGACACUGAGGCACGAAAGCGUGGGGAGCAAACAGGAUUAGAUACCCUGGUAGUCCACGCCGUAAACGAUGAGUACUAGGUGUCGGGGGUUACCCCCCUCGGUGCCGCAGCU